Long non-coding RNA from Paramacrobiotus metropolitanus, 815 nucleotides. RefSeq lists it as uncharacterized. The transcript is spliced from 4 exons. The record is from RefSeq and is a predicted model, not a curated record. Lineage: Eukaryota; Metazoa; Tardigrada; Eutardigrada; Parachela; Macrobiotidae.
AAUAAUGGUAAAGCUAAAUACAGAAAAUUUAUGUGGCAUUAUAGAGUCAUGGUGUGUCGAUAUUGAAGUUGAUAAAAUAAAUUUGAAGAAUCAGGUGGAUGUAGUGUUCCGUAUGGUUUGGUGUAUAGCAAAUUUAGUAUUGGUUGAAUGGUUUUAUGCUGAGAAUGUGGAUAAAUUAUGGAAUAAAUAUGAUAUUUGAUGUUUAUGUGUUAUGGAUGAUGGUGUUAUGGAUGAUUGUGGAUGCGAUAAAAGUAUUUUGAAGAAAAAAGUGCAAAUUUCGGACGAUAGUGGAGUCGUUGAUGUCAUGGCAUAUAAUCAAAUUCAACAACAAUUAUCUGGGCCUUCAGCAGCUGCCCAUCAAAGUGGACUGAUUGGAGUUAACAAUUUUUCAGUUAUGAAUAAGCAAUAUCGUGUCAUUCUGAAGCAGGCUUACAGUAAUAUUGAAAAGAAAAUCCAUGUUCAGCUAUGGAUAUUGGUGUCAGCGAAGAGCAAACAACGACAGUGCAACCUGAGUGCAGCAAACGAUUGAAUGUUACUCCGAAAAAACGGAAUAAAUGUGUGGAAAAGUGGAAUUGAACUGCGAAGCAGAACUGAAUGGUCCAAAUUCUUUGAAUUUGGAUAACAUGAUAAUAUUCUUUUACCAGUACAAGUAUCAUUUUGUAUUAUUAGCUAAAUUCAUUAGUGGUAUGCUAUUUGUAUGAAUUUUAUAUUAUUAUGGUGAAUUGAUUAUGCCCGAUUUUUGUACUAUUAUAUUAGGUACAUUAGUAUCAUAAUAAUUUUACUGUUGUGAUGUGAAGGUUCAAAAAAUCAUGACU